Molecule: ribosomal RNA, 254 nt
Filed under: uncultured bacterium
Lineage: Bacteria
Description: partial 16S ribosomal RNA
Rfam family: Bacterial small subunit ribosomal RNA
Source: RNAcentral
UACGAAGGGGGCUAGCGUUGCUCGGAAUCACUGGGCGUAAAGGGCGCGUAGGCGGCGCGACAAGUCAGGCGUGAAAGCCCCGGGCUCAACCCGGGAAUUGCGCUUGAUACUGUCGUGCUUGAGGCCGGGAGAGGAUGGCGGAAUUCCCAGUGUAGAGGUGAAAUUCGAUAGAUAUUGGGAAGAACACCGGUGGCGAAGGCGGCUCACUGGCCCGUAACUGACGCUCAUGCACGACAGCGUGGGGAUCAAACAGG